Long non-coding RNA from Xiphophorus hellerii (green swordtail), 540 nucleotides. RefSeq lists it as uncharacterized. NCBI's taxonomy places the organism in Eukaryota, Metazoa, Chordata, Actinopteri, Cyprinodontiformes, Poeciliidae. The record is from RefSeq and is a predicted model, not a curated record. The transcript has 2 exons.
CUGAAGGUUUAUCAAACUGGAUGUGAAUGAGUGAAUGAGGAGGACUAAGAAAAGCAAAUCGCUGACUUUGAUCUGAAUCCACAGAUGCAACGGGAAACAGUGGUGUAAAGUCAAAGCCAGUAACUAUGUGUUCGGAGAUCCCUGCUAUGAAACCUACAAGUACCUGGAGGUGGAAUAUAUUUGUUACGAGGUUCCCCAGUCGUGCCCAGAAUAGAAGCAGAAGUCGCCUUCUUCAUCAGGAUGCUGAUGAAGACUCUGGUGCUGCUGCCCCAACAGAUGAUGGCUGAAGACAACAAACUGAGAGAAGAUCUGCAGCAUCUUGUUGAAAACCUGGAAGGAUCUUAGCGUCCUCAAGAAGCUGACAGAAAAUAAUCUGAAUUACAAUUAAACAUAACAAAUAAAGUAAUAUCACAGAUUAUAGCUUUGAAAAUCUUUUUAUUUUUCUUCCUGUUGUAUCAAACUUAAAGACAGUUUUUCUCUCCAACUGCUUCUCUUUGUAAACUUCUUCAGCCAAAAUAAAACAAAAAGCUGAAAGAGGAA